GCAGUCGAACGAACUCUGGUAUUGAUUGGUGCUUGCAUCAUGAUUUACAUUUGAGUGAGUGGCGAACUGGUGAGUAACACGUGGGAAACCUGCCCAGAAGCGGGGGAUAACACCUGGAAACAGAUGCUAAUACCGCAUAACAACUUGGACCGCAUGGUCCGAGUUUGAAAGAUGGCUUCGGCUAUCACUUUUGGAUGGUCCCGCGGCGUAUUAGCUAGAUGGUGAGGUAACGGCUCACCAUGGCAAUGAUACGUAGCCGACCUGAGAGGGUAAUCGGCCACAUUGGGACUGAGACACGGCCCAAACUCCUACGGGAGGCAGCAGUAGGGAAUCUUCCACAAUGGACGAAAGUCUGAUGGAGCAACGCCGCGUGAGUGAAGAAGGGUUUCGGCUCGUAAAACUCUGUUGUUAAAGAAGAACAUAUCUGAGAGUAACUGUUCAGGUAUUGACGGUAUUUAACCAGAAAGCCACGGCUAACUACGUGCCAGCAGCCGCGGUAAUACGUAGGUGGCAAGCGUUGUCCGGAUUUAUUGGGCGUAAAGCGAGCGCAGGCGGUUUUUUAAGUCUGAUGUGAAAGCCUUCGGCUCAACCGAAGAAGUGCAUCGGAAACUGGGAAACUUGAGUGCAGAAGAGGACAGUGGAACUCCAUGUGUAGCGGUGAAAUGCGUAGAUAUAUGGAAGAACACCAGUGGCGAAGGCGGCUGUCUGGUCUGUAACUGACGCUGAGGCUCGAAAGUAUGGGUAGCAAACAGGAUUAGAUACCCUGGUAGUCCAUACCGUAAACGAUGAAUGCUAAGUGUUGGAGGGUUUCCGCCCUUCAGUGCUGCAGCUAACGCAUUAAGCAUUCCGCCUGGGGAGUACGGCCGCAAGGCUGAAACUCAAAGGAAUUGACGGGGGCCCGCACAAGCGGUGGAGCAUGUGGUUUAAUUCGAAGCUACGCGAAGAACCUUACCAGGUCUUGACAUACUAUGCAAAUCUAAGAGAUUAGACGUUCCCUUCGGGGACAUGGAUACAGGUGGUGCAUGGUUGUCGUCAGCUCGUGUCGUGAGAUGUUGGGUUAAGUCCCGCAACGAGCGCAACCCUUAUUAUCAGUUGCCAGCAUUAAGUUGGGCACUCUGGUGAGACUGCCGGUGACAAACCGGAGGAAGGUGGGGAUGACGUCAAAUCAUCAUGCCCCUUAUGACCUGGGCUACACACGUGCUACAAUGGAUGGUACAACGAGUUGCGAACUCGCGAGAGUAAGCUAAUCUCUUAAAGCCAUUCUCAGUUCGGAUUGUAGGCUGCAACUCGCCUACAUGAAGUCGGAAUCGCUAGUAAUCGCGGAUCAGCAUGCCGCGGUGAAUACGUUCCCGGGCCUUGUACACACCGCCCGUCACACCAUGAGAGUUUGUAACACCCAAAGUCGGUGGGGUAACCUUUUAGAACCAG
This 1428-nucleotide ribosomal RNA is filed under the name Lactiplantibacillus plantarum. RNAcentral describes it as "bacterial SSU rRNA". It matches the Rfam family "Bacterial small subunit ribosomal RNA". The record is from RNAcentral. Lineage: Bacteria; Bacillati; Bacillota; Bacilli; Lactobacillales; Lactobacillaceae.